Melopsittacus undulatus (budgerigar) is the source of this 3098-nucleotide long non-coding RNA. RefSeq lists it as uncharacterized. Lineage: Eukaryota; Metazoa; Chordata; Aves; Psittaciformes; Psittaculidae. The record is from RefSeq and is a predicted model, not a curated record. The transcript is spliced from 3 exons.
UCCGUGCCCGCAGCCGGGCUCCGGCUCCCGGCGCUGGGAGGCCCCGUACCCGCUGCGGGUGUUGCUGUGGGGAUCGGGCUUGGAGGCGGCCGCAGCCAGCGCCUGGCCCGGCUGUGGUGACGGGAGGGCCUCAUCCAGCGUGCGGGGCAGAGCCGGUACCGCAGAACACGGCAGCCCGGUACCAGAGCACGGCAGCCCGGUACCGGGCCCUCGGUUGUCAGGUUCCACCAAGACCCAGCCCUGCAGAUAUGAUCCAGAGGACAUCCAUGUUUGUAGGAAAGCUCCCACUAACUUCAGCACAUGCUGGACCCGCUCUUUAGACCUGACUGCUGCAGACAAGCUGGUGCUUACAUUUGCAGUGAUGAACACUUACAAGAUCCUUCAGGUCUUGGAUAGCUUGAUUCUUUCCUGCCUUCCCAUCAAUUACCAUAGUGCUGCACCUCUUGGGGCUUGUAGACAUCCUGGCUCCUGGAUUCCCUGUUUGGGGGCUCUGCUAACCCUUUUCCAGAUGAAGAGUGGACACUGAAGAGGCAAAGGUCCUGCAGCACUGACAGAGUCACUGACAAGAGGAGUGGCCUCACCAGCUGUUGUGUCCAGGCUUUCCAACCUACAGAGUACAAGUCAGAGGAGCUGGGUCCCAGUUCUGGCUCUGCCUGUGGUUCUCUGCAUCAUCGUAUUCCCUCUAGGCUUUCUCAGCUGAAAAACAGGAAUCAUAAUAUUUCCUUACCCACAAAAGCUGUUGGAGGAUUACUGCAUUGUUGUGAGUUCCACAGAUGAAAGGUACUACAGAAGAACAAACGGCAAUUAUUGUUUCAAACCCCUGCCCUGGGCCUGUCAUCCUCAACUCGCUGAACAACACUGACUCAAUCGAGGAAAUCCUGCCACCACAGUGAAGAAAAUUAUUGGUAAAGAUGACUCUGUUGCAAUAAGAGCAUUUAUCCGCUUGUGUUCAACUCCUUUCUGUCUGCCACUGGAUGAUCGGAGUCAUAUAAUCGCAGACACUGACUACACGCUCUUAAGCAAUCUUCUAUUUGAACACUAUUAUUUCUUUAUCCCAAACAUGGCUGUUACUGAAUAAAUUCUCUUUUUGUAAUGUACAAUGACAUCCACUCUGUAACAGGCUCUCCUGUGAGUCUGUUUAUAUGUGAGGUCUCUUGGAGCACACCCAAAGUCAGAAUGGCCAAAUCCACAUGCCUGAAGGUGCGUGGGGCUCAUGUCAGCCCUCCGCAUGCAUAGAGAUGUAUGGGGUGUCUGCCAUGUGCCCCGUGGAGGUGGAGGACAGGGUGCCCUGCUGACCUGGCAUUCAUCCCCCUUCAGCAGCCUGCUCCACUUGUAAUGCCCAAGUCCAAAUCCUAACAGUGAGCUCCCUUCCAGCAGGGAGCUGUGGUUUGGAUGGUGAAACAGGCACUGAAAGGUGAGGUAGAGAAUCAGAAGCUUACAGUUAAUAUCUCUAGCACAGCUCAGAAACACCAGGCUCCAGGUCAGUUCCCAACAGUCCCCUGGUGUUGAUGUGUGUUAAACACCAUUGGGUGCAGUCAUGUGAGGCACUGAGUGUGCCCAGUGCUCACAAAACUCACUGACCACAGAGCCACAGGUAUCUCCCUCUUCUAUUCCCAUAACCCUUGUUUUCCAAAGACUUAGAUCCCACCCUGGCACCAAGAGUAGAGAAGCAAAAAGUGUCAGUAUUUAACAGCCCUAAAAACCACUCUGGUGUGGCACAGAUAAGGCUUCUUCUUGUCAGAGCCUAUGGAAAAAGCCUUCUAGAAGGAUGUAUGUACCAGUGUGAAUGAAGGGUUAAAAGUAGUACAUUGGCAAGGAAUAAACAUACUCAGGUGUUAGUUAACAAGGUACUAAUUGGGUAACUGGAGGUGCAACAUAAGAGGCUGCAGAGGCUAAUCAAAGAGCUUUGGGUGGAUGGAGGAUGUUCCUCUGAGCUUGGGGAGGAAGAAGAGGUAAAAAGCUGUUGCUGUGGUCUUGUGUUUUAUGGAAAAGCUGGCAUUGAUGUAUUUUCAGAGCAGGCAAACUGGUGUAUCUUGUGUGAAAAACUAACAUGAUAGAAGAUUUUCUAGUUUAAAGAUUGCACUUACCUUUUCUUUAGCCUGAGUGCUUUGAAUUAAGCUUGAAUCUUUCUGGUUUGACUUCACUGUACUUCCUCUGGAGCUUACUCAAAUGGAGCUAGGCUCUGCCUCUUUGGCUGAACCAUUAUCCAAACUCACUGCAUUACAUAAAGAAAGCUUUGAGGAUUAUUAGAAGAUUUUUGCUUUCCUGUUCCCUUGGAGGAUGCAGAUGGGUUCUUCAGGUGUAGGCUUGCAGACCUGCAGGUAGGUGUGUUACUGGUGCGCUCCAAGCGGAAAGUUGAUAGUAGUGAAAUCUCUGGGUGCAGUUUCCAACGAGAAUUGUUUUGCCUGCUCAGCCUCGUGUAUCACAAAUGUUACGAUUUGGGUUGAAGCUGUCUUACACUCACCCAGGUGAGGUAAGGAAGUGUGAGGUGUAGUUGGAGACUGCUUUUUGGGUUGCAGUUCUGAUGCUUGUGCCAUUACCAGGUUGCAUUUGGAUUUGCAGUGGGACUGUUGGAUGGUCAAGUCAAAAAGGUCAGUUUGAGGAGGAGCCCAGGUCAUGCACUGACCGGGGGUGUGAGUGCACCCAUCUUCAGUGCUGUCUCACUAAAUAUGUCCCAGCAUGAGCAGGCUCCUGGAUUUCAAUGUGCCUUGAAGUUGGUGUAAAAAAAGCCCUUUUCAGGGGUUUCUUUCUGGCAUGUGCACAGCCUGUGUUUCAUCCUGAGGCAGCUGCAAACCUGGUGCAGUGGGGUCUUCCUGAGCAUGACCCCAGUGCCUGUAUCACAUCUCCUGAGAAUUUCAGUCCUGUUGGUCGCGUUUUAAACGGCUGGAAAUAAGGUCUUCCAAUACCACUGCCUUCACCUUAUGUCUACACUGAGCUGACCUACUGGCGUAACAGUGUGGCAGCCUCUGCCAUCUUUGUCCACAGCCACAUCCCAAAACUGCUCCUUACUUCAAAUGUUUCCCCUGGAUUCAUUUAUGUUUCUAAUUUUUGUUUAUUCCUUUUUGUGCCCGAGUAAUUAAACUGUGUUUUCGAUUGCA